Molecule: small nucleolar RNA, 102 nt
Organism: Vitis vinifera (wine grape)
Lineage: Eukaryota; Viridiplantae; Streptophyta; Magnoliopsida; Vitales; Vitaceae
Source: Rfam
UUAAUGCACAGAAUAUUGGUAAAGUAUGUACAAACAGUUACGCAGGCUUUAUGUGGGCAAGUGAUUAGCAUCAGGUUGCCCAUAAAGGACCUACAUACAUAC